Molecule: unclassified non-coding RNA, 340 nt
Filed under: soil metagenome
Description: partial contains 5.8S ribosomal RNA, internal transcribed spacer 2, and large subunit ribosomal RNA
Rfam family: 5.8S ribosomal RNA (bases 1-120)
Source: RNAcentral
GAUGAAGAACGUAGCGAAAUGCGAUAAGUAAUGUGAAUUGCAGAAUUCAGUGAAUCAUCGAAUCUUUGAACGCACAUUGCGCCCGCCAGUAUUCUGGCGGGCAUGCCUGUUCGAGCGUCAUUUCAACCAUCAAGCCCCCGGGCUUGUGUUGGGGACCUGCGGCUGCCCGCAGGCCCUGAAAACCAGUGGCGGGCUCGCUGUCACACCGAGCGUAGUAGCAUAUCAUCUCGCUCUGGGCGUGCUGCGGGUUCCGGCCGUUAAAGCCUUUUUUUUUUACCCAAGGUUGACCUCGGAUCAGGUAGGAAGACCCGCUGAACUUAAGCAUAUCAAUAGCGGAGGA